Podarcis lilfordi (Lilford's wall lizard) is the source of this 72-nucleotide non-coding RNA. Lineage: Eukaryota; Metazoa; Chordata; Lepidosauria; Squamata; Lacertidae. The record is from the annotation of a GenBank genome assembly.
GCUGUGGCUCAGCGGUAGAGCAUCUCUUUUGCAUACAGAAGGCCCCAGGUUCAGUUCCCAAUGGUAUCUCCA